CCUUCGAUAGCUCAGUUGGUAGAGCGGUGGACUGUAGAUCAAGAAUAUUGAUGGUAAAUAGUAAUACAAAGGUCGCUGGUUCAAAUCCGGCUCGAAGGA
Molecule: transfer RNA, 99 nt
Filed under: Aedes aegypti (yellow fever mosquito)
Lineage: Eukaryota; Metazoa; Arthropoda; Insecta; Diptera; Culicidae
Description: partial tRNA-OTHER
Rfam family: tRNA
About the family: Transfer RNA (tRNA) molecules are approximately 80 nucleotides in length. Their secondary structure includes four short double-helical elements and three loops (D, anti-codon, and T loops). Further hydrogen bonds mediate the characteristic L-shaped molecular structure. tRNAs have two regions of fundamental functional importance: the anti-codon, which is responsible for specific mRNA codon recognition, and the 3' end, to which the tRNAs corresponding amino acid is attached (by aminoacyl-tRNA synthetases). tRNAs cope with the degeneracy of the genetic code in two manners: having more than one tRNA (with a specific anti-codon) for a particular amino acid; and 'wobble' base-pairing, i.e. permitting non-standard base-pairing at the 3rd anti-codon position.
Source: RNAcentral